Molecule: small nucleolar RNA, 125 nt
Organism: Coregonus clupeaformis (lake whitefish)
Lineage: Eukaryota; Metazoa; Chordata; Actinopteri; Salmoniformes; Salmonidae
Product: small nucleolar RNA SNORA17
Exons: 1
Source: RefSeq, a predicted model, not a curated record
AUUACUACUUGAGGCGUUGCAGUCCGACUAAGUGUCGAGCCUGUGUCAUGAGGGGCAGCGCGUGACAGGGCUAUGUCUACGCCGAGGACAGUGGGCACUUGGAGUGAUUUGAUAGCACUUACAAA